AAUUUCUUUUUUCAAAUAUGAAAUUUAAUCGUAAGCUUAGUGAACAGUUUUGGAGAAUUUGAUGUUUCCCCAUUCAAAGAGAUAGGAGCUGCACUUGCGUGCCCGAGAGGCGUUUCAAAGAUGGCCGCCGAGUGACAUGACUUGUCUUUAAGAGACUUUGGUACUAGUGAGUCUUUGAAGGCUUGAAUGAACAAUCGAGAUUCUUUUACUUAAAGGAUUCAUUUAAAAAAAAGUUUACGAACGAAACACCGCUGAUACUUUGAAUGCACUUACACGGCCAUUCAGACGGAGCGCUGCAUCCUAAUUACCAGAGCUGAAGGACAGAGGACAUCUCCUCGCCUCCUUAGUUGGAAUAACUGGCCUGACUAUCCAGAUGUAGAUGAAUUUGCUUCUUCAUCAGAAGAGAUUUGGAGAAAUGUAGCAUUACAUCACUUGCUCACCAAUGGAUCCUCUGCAGUGAAUGGGUGCCGUCAGAAUGAG
This is a long non-coding RNA of Onychostoma macrolepis, 480 nucleotides long. RefSeq lists it as uncharacterized. Lineage: Eukaryota; Metazoa; Chordata; Actinopteri; Cypriniformes; Cyprinidae. The transcript has 3 exons. The record is from RefSeq and is a predicted model, not a curated record.